Molecule: ribosomal RNA, 106 nt
Filed under: Nannospalax galili (Upper Galilee mountains blind mole rat)
Lineage: Eukaryota; Metazoa; Chordata; Mammalia; Rodentia; Spalacidae
Source: RNAcentral
UGUGGCCAUACCACCCUGAAGAUGUCUGGUCUCAUCUAUCUCAGAAGCUAAGCAGGGUGGGCUUUACUUGUACUAAGACGGGAGAGGCCUUGAUGCUCUGCCACAU